GGGGGAGGGGGAAGCCUGCUCCCGCUCCCCGGCCGAGCCGCCUUGUCCUGUCGCUGAGCCGGGAAAACGAGCAUCAAGAAACAGCUUCAAGGUCUCACACCUUCAAAAAUAAGUCUUUUAAGAAAUCCAGUAUCUGUGGAUUUUGCGAACAAGUCAUUGACAACCAAGGAAUUUCCUGCAGAGUAAAGCAUUCUCAG
Molecule: long non-coding RNA, 197 nt
Filed under: Zonotrichia albicollis (white-throated sparrow)
Lineage: Eukaryota; Metazoa; Chordata; Aves; Passeriformes; Passerellidae
Description: lncRNA (ENSZALG00000011400.1)
Source: RNAcentral